Long non-coding RNA from Lycium ferocissimum, 591 nucleotides. RefSeq lists it as uncharacterized. The record is from RefSeq and is a predicted model, not a curated record. The transcript is spliced from 2 exons. Lineage: Eukaryota; Viridiplantae; Streptophyta; Magnoliopsida; Solanales; Solanaceae.
CACUUUGUUUUUUCUUUUUUUCUCUUCAACCUAGCAAAACUUAGAAAAAAGUAGGGUUUCUAUUCUUUUCAUUUCCAGAGCCGCCCACCUCUUUUCCCUUUAUGAACAAAGCCAAUCUCUCUCACUUCUAAAUCAGAAUUUGUAGGCCUAUUUUGGUGAAAGUCUUUAAAAAAUCUUUAUCUCUCAUCUCUAUCACACGAUUUGGUCAAACGAAAAAGCAAAAACUUUUGGAAGAAAUCUGCGUUUUCAGAGAUUUGAUUCUCUAUUCAAACGAUCAUUUUCAUUCUUCAAAUCCCGCCCAAAAACACUUUGGAGCGAACAUAGAGUCUUAAUGCAAGACUCUUCCCGAGCAUGGACCCGGAGUCACUUUCUUUGGACUAUUAUUUUCUCUUGUCUUAACUAUGUAAAAGCCAACAAUAGUGGAAGUAGUUCCCCACCCCCCUACUCUUCCGUGACGCUUGGGGGAAUUAGUAUGGGUUAUAUGCUUUAAUAUUAUGUCACUCUUUGCUACUUGACGCCUAGGAUUCACGUCUAAUUAAUGAAGUAGUUUAAAUCGGUAAUGGAAUUCUAUAAACCUGCUUAAUCGAUAAA